Molecule: ribosomal RNA, 253 nt
Filed under: uncultured bacterium
Lineage: Bacteria
Description: partial 16S ribosomal RNA
Rfam family: Bacterial small subunit ribosomal RNA
Source: RNAcentral
UACGGGGGGGGCAAGCGUUGUUCGGAAUUACUGGGCGUAAAGGGCUCGUAGGCGGCCAACUAAGUCAUACGUGAAAUCCCUCGGCUUAACCGGGGAACUGCGUCUGAUACUGGAUGGCUUGAGAUUGGGAGAGGGAUGCGGAAUUCCUGGUGUAGCGGUGAAAUGCGCAGAUAUCAGGAGGAACACCGGUGGCGAAGGCGGGUCCCUGGGCCGAUACUGACGCUGAGGAGCGAAAGCGUGGGGAGCGAACAGG